Long non-coding RNA from Ctenopharyngodon idella (grass carp), 477 nucleotides. RefSeq lists it as uncharacterized. The record is from RefSeq and is a predicted model, not a curated record. Lineage: Eukaryota; Metazoa; Chordata; Actinopteri; Cypriniformes; Xenocyprididae. The transcript has 3 exons.
CACUUUACUCUCUGAGUCAGUCUUUGUGUUGAGAAACAAGUACGACUCUGAGGGCGAAACUCUCUGGAAUCCGUCAACAAACUCCACAUCGCUCGCGGUGCUCUGGAUCGAGGGGGUUAUUGGAUACUCUAUGUCAGAGAAAAUCCCACCAUAUUGAGACUGUAAAGUGUUCCACAAGAUAACAACAGGAUACUGAGGUUUUCCAUCAUCGUCCUUUUUCCCAACCAAAAGGUACCUACCGGUACUUGGACCUGCUAUGAACGCAACAGAUUUCUCAUUCUGUCUCGGUCCUACCGAUAUACCACUUUCAUAGUAAAUGCUCUUUGUAAUGUCACUGAGGUCAAGAACUUCACAAUAUCCAUUUGUAAAGGUCCCACAGGUUAUCAGGGUGUCGUUGUCGUCAAAAGGCACCAGAAUGUUGACUCUAUUUUGAUCAGUGUUAGUGAUGUCCUUCCUCUUCUCCUCAGAAAGAUCGAG